CUGGUGAAGCGUGGAAGCGUGGGAAUGGAGCGCCGCAAAAAUGGGUUUAGGACGUGGAAGGAGGAGGAGAGAUAAUGAAAGGGUGAGUUUUUAGGGUUGAAGAAGAGGAAAGGGGACGAGGUGGGGAAUCGGAGAAGAAGAAGAGAUUGGAGAAGGGACGGUGGAGAUUGAGAGUUGGGAAGUGUUGUCUGACAAUGGAGAGGGGAUUAGAUCGGAGGUUGUGAAGGAAAAGAAGGAAGGGA
This is a non-coding RNA of Arachis ipaensis, 242 nucleotides long. The record is from RefSeq and is a predicted model, not a curated record. NCBI's taxonomy places the organism in Eukaryota, Viridiplantae, Streptophyta, Magnoliopsida, Fabales, Fabaceae.